GAUGAACGCUGGCGGCGUGCCUAAUACAUGCAAGUCGAGCGAACAGACGAGGAGCUUGCUCCUCUGACGUUAGCGGCGGACGGGUGAGUAACACGUGGAUAACCUACCUAUAAGACUGGGAUAACUUCGGGAAACCGGAGCUAAUACCGGAUAAUAUAUUGAACCGCAUGGUUCAAUAGUGAAAGACGGUUUUGCUGUCACUUAUAGAUGGAUCCGCGCCGCAUUAGCUAGUUGGUAAGGUAACGGCUUACCAAGGCAACGAUGCGUAGCCGACCUGAGAGGGUGAUCGGCCACACUGGAACUGAGACACGGUCCAGACUCCUACGGGAGGCAGCAGUAGGGAAUCUUCGGCAAUGGGCGAAAGCCUGACGGAGCAACGCCGCGUGAGUGAUGAAGGUCUUCGGAUCGUAAAGCUCUGUUGUUAGGGAAGAACAAAUGUGUAAGUAACUAUGCACGUCUUGACGGUACCUAAUGAGAAAGCCACGGCUAACUACGUG
This 497-nucleotide ribosomal RNA is filed under the name uncultured bacterium. RNAcentral's name for it is "partial 16S ribosomal RNA". It matches the Rfam family "Bacterial small subunit ribosomal RNA", at positions 28 to 507 of the family's 1533-position model. The record is from RNAcentral.